Molecule: non-coding RNA, 271 nt
Organism: Biomphalaria pfeifferi
Lineage: Eukaryota; Metazoa; Mollusca; Gastropoda; Planorbidae
Source: the annotation of a GenBank genome assembly
UCACUUUUUAUACACCCCACCCUAACCUACACAAAAAGCGGAAGUACAAAUAAUAAAUUUGGCAAUAGCCUAUAAAAAAUAGAAUACAUAAAAAUAUAGCUCUGGGAGCGCAAGCUCACAUAUAAUAAGAGCAAAAUUUGGGAUCUUACAAGAAAAUAUAAUCAGCUGCAUAAUAAAGAAAUUGUCUUUUCUUAAUAACUUUUUCUAUAAUAAUUGAUUUAUUUUGUUUUCUUGUAUACCUGGACCUUUGCUGUCAGUGUUUUUUGUUUUU